Non-coding RNA from Paramarasmius palmivorus, 95 nucleotides. The record is from the annotation of a GenBank genome assembly. NCBI's taxonomy places the organism in Eukaryota, Fungi, Basidiomycota, Agaricomycetes, Agaricales, Marasmiaceae.
UCCCUGGUAGUAUAUCGGUCAGUACACGCGCCUGUCAUUAGAGGUUUAGAGUGGGAAUUGCGCGCCAAAGCUGGGUUCGACUCCCAGCCAGGGAG